RNAcentral lists this long non-coding RNA (6356 nucleotides) under Capsicum annuum. RNAcentral's name for it is "long non-coding RNA (CANN_LNC019416)". Lineage: Eukaryota; Viridiplantae; Streptophyta; Magnoliopsida; Solanales; Solanaceae. The record is from RNAcentral.
UUGUGCCUAAAAUAAAGCAACCUAAUCAGACAAUUUCAAGAUCUAAAUUUACAAAUGUUAUCUUAUCAAAUUGCUCAACAUCAUCAUCUUCUUCAAUUUCUUUUGGAGUUUAGUUUAAUUUCUCAAUUUUUUCAACUCUACCAAAUCAAAAAUCGAUGAGUUAGUUUGUUAAGGGAAGUUGCUCAUACAAAAAUAGACCGAAACACCAAAACAACUCCGCCAAGAUGAAGAAGAUGAGAAAAGUUGCUCGUACAAGCUCUAAAAAUCUCAUUGCUAAAUCUUCUAGUAAGAAAAAAGUAAAGAUACAUCACGAUUGUGUCUUUCAAAGGUAUAGUGCUUUUAUUGCUGAAUCUACAUGUUUUUGUCAAUGUACGUAUUCUUAUACAUUGUUAUAUUAGUGUGAGUUGUUAUUUUAACCCUAUACAUAUUGUAAUGACCUAAAAAUUUGAUGAAAUAUAUAAAAUUUGUGAUUCUGUGUGAUUUGACUAUUUUACCCCUCUCCAUAGUUGCAUUUUGAUAUUUCUGUGGUGUGGGAGUGGUUGACAUAGUUUUCGAUGCAUUUUGGUAUCAUUUAUGCGAUAUUGUGGUUUUUGAUGGCUUCGAGAGCCUUAUUUUAGACUUAUGGGGAUAUCUUUUGAUUCGUGCGAUGGAUGGCAAAACGGAUCGCUCCAACAGCUUCGAAUAUCAAUUUUAGAAUAGUUUGACCUUUGAUUCGAGUUUUGGUGCACCCGAGCUCAUUUUGACCUAUUGAUCGAAAAGUUGGAAAAUUAAAAAUAAGGAUGUGGGACCCACAUUUGGUCGAAACAACCUCGAAUGAAAAAUCUGACUUCUCCAGCAAACCCAUAAUGUCAAUUUUAGGGUGUUAUCAUGUUUGGUGUGAUUUCACAGCUUUAAAAUCUCAUUUCGACCCUCGAUUUGGAAAAUUGUGAUUUCGGAUUUUGGUGGUCAACUUUGUAAAAAUAAUAUUUUUUCAAAAAAUUCGACUGUGCCAACACGUUUGGAAUAUCGAAUUUAGUGUGGUUUCAUAGUUUAAUUGCAUAUAUCGGACUUCGAACAAAUCUCGGGCACCCCGUUAAAGUGUGGGUUUAAUUUUAAAAGAAAAAAAAUUGUUGUUAUAGCAGAUUUUAUGCUAUAUAUAGAAGAUUUCUCCCCCUUUUGACUUAUUUUGCUCAUUUUUCUUCUUGUCUCUUGAGUGUUAAACCUUAAAAUAGUCUGGGAGUUUAAAAGUAAAGUUCUUGGGAAGCUAGAUUAACAUUUAUUUCAUUGUUUUAUUACGGAUUUAAGGUAAGAAUUUACCCUUUUCUUAGUAAUUUCUUGAUUAAUUUUUCAAAACCCUAAAAAUUUUGGGCUUGAUUUUAAAUCUCAAUUUUACUUCUUUUCACUUGAAUAAUAUUUUUAUCUUAUAAUUAUUAGUUUUUCAUCAAUUUACCCUUAAAACAACUCCGAUUUUUUUAUUUUUGCCCGGAUUUCAAAGAUUUUACCCGAUAAAGUUAAAAAAUAAUUUUUCUUCAAUUUGAACCUCGUUUUUUACUCGAUUUGACUUGGGUUAUCAGUUGUAGAUUCCUAAAAAUAUGCAAAACAUGUUUUUGAAUUAAAUUUUAAUUUUUCCUUUCUUUUUCAGAAACUUGUUUCCUGGGUCGGGUGUCAUUGGUUUUUUGGAUGCGUAUAUUUCAUAUUUGAUGUGUUUAGUGGAGUUUUGGAUCGCUCGUUAAAAUUAAGGUUAUGGGUUCAAAGUGUUGCGAGCUAGUUUCGGCAUUCGGGGUAGGUUAUGACUUAACUCUUUCAUACUGGGUUGGGUAAUAAAUGAUGGUAUAAAAUGCAUGUUAAGGAUGAGAACUAAUUAUGAAAAAUGUCUAUCUAUAUUUUGUGCCCGCGUGAGGGCCUAUAUGUGAUGUAAUUGUUCAAAUUGAGAUAUGAUGUGAUAUGCGUGACCGGGUGGGGUCCUAUGAGGUGUUGAUAGCCUUGAAUACAUGUGAAUAAUUGUAUUUUGUUGUUGACAUGCCUAAUAUGGUUUCAUUGGUAUAUUAUGAUAUAUACAUACUUAUUGUUAUAUGAGACAUAUGGAAAUUCAUGGAUGAAACGGAAGUAAUGAGUGGAUAUUGGCUCACAUAAUUGUGAAAUUGUAAUACUGUGGUUGGCUGUGGAAAUACAUCAUGUGGAUUGGGUGUGAAAAUACAUUACAUGGAUUGGUUGUGGAAAUACUCAUUUUGAAUGGUUGUGAAUAUUACAUCGUCAUUCUCAUAUCAUCAUACGUAUCAUAUCACUUGUUCGUUUUACCGUGAUCGAGGCCUAGCAGGAUUUCAGCCCAAGGGUAAAAUUGUAAAUGCAUGAAAUUAUCCAAAAUUUUCCCAACAAAAGAAGACUCAAACCUUAAUCCAAGGGGGAUCAAUCAUUCUACAUCUCUACGUCCCAUCUUUUAGCUUAGGGUUUUUUUAAUUUCUUGGAGCUUGGAGCAAGACUUGUACUAAUUUUGAGAUUAAAAAACAUUAGAGUGACCUCUAAGUGUAGAUUUGGUUUCACCCAUUGAAGAGUCAUUGGAUUCUAAAGUGUGAUUUGCACUCUCUUUAUUUUCAUAUGGAUAACUUUGAUGAAAAUAUUGGUUUAUUUGUGUUUAUUAUCAUUAUGAGUUGCUAGAUUUACCUCUUGGGGUUAUGCUUGGUUAGGGUGCAAUUGUGUGUGGGUUGUGAUAAUUUUUGUGUAGAUUUGAGUUUGCUGAUUAUGAGUUCUAUCAUUACUUGUUAAAAUUGAUUGGGAUUUGAUGGGUGAAAUCUCCAAAUACCUAAAUGGGUUUGAUGGGUGAAAGCUCCAAACUCUAGAAAGGUUAAACCCAUCUUCGAAAGAAGAGUUUUGGAUGAAAUUUAGGAAUUCAUGUCAUCCUCGAAAGAGGGAUGUGGAGACCAAAGUAAUGGAAGACAAUUAUGUGUGUAGUUUGCUAAUCUAUCACUAUAUUAGACACAAAAAUGGUUGUGGAGUUAACUAUUCCAUGGGUAUCAUCCUAGAAAUAGUGAUUCCUUGAUUGAGGUAUUGGGUGGUUUUUCUUGAUACACUUGUUAGGUGCUCAAAAGAGCCAAUGGGUGAAAUAUUUGUGGUUUUGUUGAAAAACUAGCCCCACGGACAUUAGACCUAGCCUACCAUAUCAUCAACGAAUAGAAUUUGCAUCAAAUUAUCAUGUUUCCAUGUAUAUUUUGCCCUUGGAAAAGUAUAAUCCCAAGAUCUAUUUUAAUUGAUUACACUCUAAUUAUUCUUAGUCUCGAGUUAGUUCCUUAGAAGCCCAAGAAUUAUAUUCAAAUUAGACACAAUUGAAAACCCCCAAACCAUUUUGUACCAUAGGUUUGAAUUUUAGCAAGCACUUUUAUUUAGAACAUACUUAAUCACCACUCAUAUUGUUCCUGGUGGUUUCGAACCAGACUCUUGUUGGAUAAAUAUAUUGACAAUAACUGCCUUACACUAAAUUGAAGUGUAAGUUGAGUGUUAUCAGUGCUCUAGAGCAAUCCUUGUGGUUAAGGUCCUGUAGUGACAUCGAUUUGUAGAUGAGGCUACUUGGGAAGUCGAGUCUGAUAUGCGUAUUUCUUAUCCUCAACUCUUCAUUGAUUCAGUUAUUUCUUUGCCUUAGUUGGAGGACGAACUAAAUUUUUAGAGUUGGAUUAUAUAACAACCUAAAAAAAUUAAUGAAAUAUAUGAAAUUUGUGUGAUUUGACUAUUUUACCCCUCCUCGUAGUUGCAUUAUGGUAUUUCUAGGGUGUGGGAGUGAUUAGCAUGAUUUUCAAUGCAUUUUGGUUCUAUUUAUGCGAUAUUGUGAUUUUUGAUGGCUUCGAGUGCCUUAUUUUAGACUUACGAGAAUAUCUUUUGAUCUAUGCCACAGAUGGCCAAAUGGACUGUGCCGACAGCUUUGGAAUAUCAAUUUUAGGCUAGGUAUACCUUUGGUUUUGGUCCCGGUGCACUUGAGCUCAUUUUGACAUAUUGAUCGAAAAGUUAAAAAAUUUAAAAUAUGAGUGUGGGAUCCACAUUGGAUCGAAAUGACCUCGGAUGAAAAAUCUGACUCUGCCAGCAGAUCUGGAAUGUUGAUUUUAGGGUGUUAGCUUGUUUGGUAUGAUUUUACGGCUUUUAAAUUUCAUUUUGACCCUCGGUUUGGAAAAUUGUGAUUUCGAAUUUUAGAGGUCAACUUUGUGAAAAUGAUAUUUUUUGAAAAUAUGAUAUCUCCAUCGUGUCCAAAAUUUUGAAUUUAUUGUGGUUGCAUAGUUCAUUUGCAUGUAUAGGACUUCGAACGAAUGUCGGACACCCCAUCGAUAUCCGUCGACCAAAAAAAUUGAUAUUGCAUAAAAAUCUUUACAACAAAUUGUUCUCUUUUUAGCUCAUUUUGCUCAUUUUCAUCUUGCCUCAUGGGAGUUAAACCCUAAAAUAGUAUGGGAGCUUAAAAAUAAAGUUUUUGAGAGUUUGGAAAGCUAGAUUAACAUCUAUUUCUUGGUUUUAUUAUGAAUUAAGGUAAGAAUUCACCCUUUUCUUAGUAAUUUUUGAUUAAUUUUUCAAAACCUCAAAAAUUUUGGGCUUGAUUUAAAAUCCCAAUUUCACUUUUUUUUCACUUGAAUAAUAUUUUUAUCUUAUAAUUAUAAGUUUUUCAUCAAUUUAGCCCUUAAAAUAACUCCGAUUUUUUAUUUUAACCCGAAUUUCAAAGAUUUUACCCGAUAAAGUUAAAAAAUAAUUUUACUUCAAUUUGAACCUCAUUUUUUACUCGAUUUAACUUGGGUUUUUAGCUGUAGAUUCCUAAAAAUAUGGGGAACAUGUUUUUGAAUUAAAUUUUGAUUUUUUCCUUCUUUUGUUGGAAACCUAUUCCGGAGGUCUGUUUUCACCCCGAACCAAAAAUAGUCAAUAUGGGUAUCAUUAUUCUUUUUAUGCGUAUAUUUUAUAUUUGAUGUUUUUAGUGGAGUUUGGGAUCACUCAUAAAAAGUAAGGUUGUGGGUUCAAAGUGUUGCGGGUCUAUUUCGACAUUUGAGGUAGGUUAUGACUUAACUCUUUCAGAUUGGGCUGGGUAGUAAAUGAUGGCAUAAAAUGCAUGUUAAGGGUGAGAACUAAUUAUAAAAAAUGGCUAUCUAUGUUUUGUGCCCCUGUGAGGGCCUAUAUGUGAUGUAAUUGUUCAAAUUGAGAUAUGAUGUGAUAUGCGUGACCGUGUGGAGUCCUAUGUGGUAUUGAUAGCCUUGAGUACAUGUGAAUAAUUGUAUUUUAUUGUUGACAUGCCUAAUGUGGUUUCAUUGGUAUAUUUUGAUAUAUACAUACUUAUUGGUAUAUGAGAUAUGUGGAAAUUCAUGGAUCAAACGAAAGUAAUGAGUGGAUAUUGGCUCAUGUAAUUGUGAAAUUGUAACAUUGUGGUUGGUUGUGGAAAUACAUCACGUAGAUUGGGUGUGAAAAUACAUCACAUGGAUUGGUUGUGGAAAUACUCAUUUUGAAUGGUUGUGAACAUUACAUCAUUAUUCUCAUGUCAUCAUACGCAUCAUUUUACUUAUUCGUUUUACUACUUUAUAUAUACUUAUUGUCAUGUAUGUGUAUUUGAUUUAUGUUUUAUGUUAUGUAUAUGCUUUGAAAAUACUGAAAUACUGGAUAUUAGUAUUGGAUAUUUGAUUUUAUGGACCAUCUUUGAAGGAUCAUGUUGGAGACAAAGUGCAGAUAUUGGUGAUCGUGAGGCUGUGUACCAAUACCAUGCAUUAUCUUUAUAUACAUUACACCCACUUUAUUGUGUUUAUGUUGUGAUUGAAUUAUGAUAUUGACUUGUCAUCUACCUAUUUAUUCUAUAUCUUGACUUGUUAACAUCUAAUUGUUCUAUUUUUCUUUCAUUGUACUUGAUUAUAUUUGUCUCUCUUUUGUUCUACUUGUCUUUGAUAUUGUGUAUAUUUGUAUCCAUAUCUUGUAUGUUGUUGUAUUAUCUAUGGAUAUUAUAAAACUGUUAGUACAAGUAGUGUGGGCUGCCGUUGUGGGACAUUAUUUGAUUGUAGGUAACGGUCCCUUAGUGUAAAUUUUAUAUGCUUUAUUUACUACUUUACUUAGUUGGCGUAUGAUACCUACUGAGUACAAGUGGACCGUACUCAUGCCUACGACACCCUUUCGGUGCAGGUCCUAGCUCGAGUGCGCCUCAGCUUGAUUGACUUAGGCGAUUGUUGGAGCUUCCAAGGUAGCGGAUGGGCAUUCAUGCAUCCAAAGUUCACCUCUAUAUUUUUAUAGUAGUUAUAUCUUUGUUAGUAUUCAGAGACAGAUAUUAAUCCUUUGUGGUUAUUUUUCUGAAGUAUUUGACUCUUGGAUUGUAUUAAUAGUUCUUACACUAUUGACACCUGGUUUUGGCAUGACUGGUAUUUUGGAUAAGUUCUUUC